This 546-nucleotide ribosomal RNA is filed under the name uncultured Glomus. RNAcentral describes it as "SSU rRNA". It matches the Rfam family "Eukaryotic small subunit ribosomal RNA", at positions 548 to 1098 of the family's 1831-position model. Lineage: Eukaryota; Fungi; Glomeromycota; Glomeromycetes; Glomerales; Glomeraceae. The record is from RNAcentral.
UUGGAGGGCAAGUCUGGUGCCAGCAGCCGCGGUAAUUCCAGCUCCAAUAGCGUAUAUUAAAGUUGUUGCAGUUAAAAAGCUCGUAGUUGAAUUUCGGGAUUAGUACGUCGGUCGUGCCUUAGGUACGUACUGGUGUUACUGGUUCCUACCUUCUGACGAACCAUCAUGUCAUUAAUUUGGUGUGGUGGGGAAUCAGGACUGUUACUUUGAAAAAAUUAGAGUGUUUAAAGCAGGCUCGCGCUUGAAUACAUUAGCAUGGAAUAAUGAAAUAGGACGUUGAUCCUAUUUUGUUGGUUUCUAGGAUUGACGUAAUGAUUAAUAGGGAUAGUUGGGGGCAUUAGUAUUCAAUUGUCAGAGGUGAAAUUCUUGGAUUUAUUGAAGACUAACUACUGCGAAAGCAUUUGCCAAGGAUGUUUUCAUUAAUCAAGAGCGAAAGUUAGGGGAUCGAAGACGAUCAGAUACCGUCGUAGUCUUAACCAUAAACUAUGCCGACUAGGGAUCGGAUGAUGUUAUUUUUAAUGACUCAUUCGGCGCCUUACGGGAAAC